This 459-nucleotide ribosomal RNA is filed under the name uncultured bacterium. RNAcentral's name for it is "partial 16S ribosomal RNA". It matches the Rfam family "Bacterial small subunit ribosomal RNA", at positions 28 to 507 of the family's 1533-position model. The record is from RNAcentral.
GAUGAACGCUGGCGGCGCGCCUAACACAUGCAAGUCGAACGGCACCCCUCCUCGGAGGGAAGCGAGUGGCGAACGGCUGAGUAACACGUGGAGAACCUGCCCCCUCCCCCGGGAUAGCCGCCCGAAAGGACGGGUAAUACCGGAUACCCCGGGGUGCCGCAUGGCACCCCGGCUAAAGCCCCGACGGGAGGGGAUGGCUCCGCGGCCCAUCAGGUAGACGGCGGGGUGACGGCCCACCGUGCCGACAACGGGACGCCGGGUUGAGAGACCGACCGGCCAGAUUGGGACGGAGACACGGCCCAGACUCCUACGGGAGGCAGCAGUGGGGAAUCUUGCGCAAUGGGGGGAACCCUGACGCAGCGACGCCGCGUGCGGGACGGAGGCCUUCGGGUCGUAAACCGCUUUCAGCAGGGAAGAGUCAAGACUGUACCUGCAGAAGAAGCCCCGGCUAACUACGUG